CGGCUCUCCAGCACUAAGCCCCCUAACUGGGAAGCAUAACCGACAGUUCCAGGCAAUGAGGAAGAUCCUGAGAAUUCCUAGAAACUGACGUCCGCAGAACCGAGAGUUGGAGAGGAGAGUGAACAGCGCGGUCGCAGGCUGAGUCCGGACCCCUGGGACUGACAGGAGGUUUCCAGUCAAACGCUCGCAGCUGCAGUGGAGCCAAAGACACAACCAGCUCUCAGUGCCGCGAGUGACACUCACCGGCCCGAAACCUCGAAUGAAACCAGCAGCUUCGGGGGCGGCGGCAGCAGUGGCAGCAGGAACCGAACAUCCAAAAUGGCGGCUCCCUCGGCCUCACCACCGCUACUGCAGGCGGAGGGAUCCCAGGCGAGGAGGGAGUUUCUAACUCACUUCUCGCGCUUCUCGAGAAGACGUCGCUCCUCCGCUCCCUCUCCUCGUCCACUCCGCGUCCCUCCAACUGCAACCUGUGCUCUUUCCCACCUCGGAUGACCCGAGUACUCGGACCCUGCUGAGGACUAUUUGCCGAGGAGGAGGCGACUGCGCCUGGCAGAGCGACGCAAAGCGUAGCAAGGGUCGGGGCUGUCACUGAUGACGCUAGACGCGGCUGCCGAGUCACCGCUGCGAGGAGUCUGAGCUAGAAAGGUCCGGCCCUACUCCAGAGUCAACGCACUUUGGUUCCGCUUGGUGGCGGGGUUGGGGAAGUGGUGCAGCCGGGAAACGGUGGGGUCACCUGAGGGGGCGGAGCUCAGCAAGGUAACUCAGGAAGUCAGAGAGGGCAUGUAGCUAGUGUUUCCAAAAGAAUUCUUAAGUGGUUCGUAUCACCUUUGAAUCCUUAGCUUUUCUGAUCAAAUUUAGCAGCAUGCCGAGUAGUUUUGGAAUCCUUGGUUUUAUGGUAUCUUCAUAAUUUUUUUUGCAAAAACAGAAGAUGAAACCGAAGAAUGGAUCCAAGCACAGCACCACCCUUUGUGUGUCAAUCUCACCAACGAUUCAGUUCCCUCCCGUGAGAAAAAAAGAAUCUGGACAAAAGACAGCUAAAACUCUUCCAGAAUAGGCUUUCAAUCUAUGAUUGAAUGAACUAAUAACCUGAAGCAAAGAAAGUCUAACUAGACAGUUCCUGGUGUGAUAAAUAAUUACUAACUUGUGACAAAAGUCUUUUCCAUGUGAACCUAGAGAUCCUUGAUAUCUUGGCCCAUUUAAAGGAAAGGUGACCUACCUAGAAUAAAAUCUUUCCGAUAGAUUGGCAACAAA
Rattus norvegicus (Norway rat) is the source of this 1251-nucleotide non-coding RNA. NCBI's taxonomy places the organism in Eukaryota, Metazoa, Chordata, Mammalia, Rodentia, Muridae. The record is from RefSeq and is a predicted model, not a curated record.